Long non-coding RNA from Oncorhynchus tshawytscha (Chinook salmon), 1254 nucleotides. RefSeq lists it as uncharacterized. The record is from RefSeq and is a predicted model, not a curated record. Lineage: Eukaryota; Metazoa; Chordata; Actinopteri; Salmoniformes; Salmonidae. The transcript is spliced from 3 exons.
AGAAUGAAAUCUUUGUAAGGCUUUGUCCCGGGCUGUGUUCAGUGCGUGUUGAAAAUAAACAGAAACAGUGCUGUGACCCGAAUGACCAAUUGGAAAACCGGGAGGUUUUGGAUUGUGGGUUGGGGAACGCCGACAACAUGACCACUUCCGUUUAAAUACGCCACUCAUUGCUUCACCCAUCGACCGGAAGAAAACGUACCUCAAGUCUGUUCAAGAAUGUGUUAUUCAGUACAAAUAGUUCCUCAACGUAGCAAACGUUUAAGCGAACUGAACGCACCUCCUGUUCAGAGGUAACACUACACUGAAGAGGCAUACAACCACAGGAUAUGAAUCCUGACACUUCAAGUCAGCUCCGCUUAGAGAGUGGGAGCGGAGAGCAGACAGACGGGGCUUGCUGAAACUAUAAGAUCACAAACAUUGAACAUCUGGGGGUUCCUGAGGAGGGGGUUGAGAACCACCUAGCAGACCAGUGUGUACCUGUGGUCUCAGGUCUCUGUGAAGAAGGCCCAGGUAGGUCAUGGACAUGCUUCAGGGCCAUGCAGAUUUUGACAAACCAGUCCAUGAUCUGGGAUGAAAUCCAGUCAGUAAUUUAGGUUUAGCCUAAAACAAAAUAAUUUAGAUGUAGUGUCAUAAAUAGAAAUGGCUGUGUUCCAGGCUGACUACAUUACAGAAGCCUGCCAGAUCUCACAACAAUUUGAUAGGUGAACAUAUCAGCUAAGCUAUGAUAUAUCAAUCUGACAACCGAUUGCACAGUAGAUGACUUGGCAUGCAACAAUUGGUUGAUGCAAUGCGACAUCUGCAAUGUAGUCAGUUUGGAACGCAAUCAAUAUGUGUAUGUGUCCAAUAACAUUUGAUUUGGAUAACAAGCUCAACAAUUAUUUUGUCAUUUUAAUCAUUUUACCUAUAUUAAACUGUAUUGUUAUGAAAUGCAGCCGACAAUAAAUUGUUAAUUAAAUGCAGAGGUAGGAUCAAUUAGUUAGCCAAUUCACUUAAAUGAACAACCAGAAAUAUGUAUAGCUUUUCUGGUUUAUUAAGAAAGCUAAACGUAUGUAUCUUUGGUUGUUGUUGUUGUUUUGUCAAUUAGACCAGUGAUUCUCAACUGGGAGGAUUUUAAGGGGUCACAGGACUUGUGCAUGAUGAAUUGAUGGGAAAUGAUGUAAAUAUAUCACUAGCCACUUUAAACAAUGCUACCUUAUAUAAUGUUACUUACCCUACAUUGUUCAUCUCAUAUGCAUACGUUGAUACUGUACUCUA